UACAGAGGGUGCGAGCGUUGUCCGGAAUCACUGGGCGUAAAGGGCGCGUAGGCGGUCUGCUAAGCGUGCGGUGAAAGCCCGGGGCUCAACCCCGGGUCGGCCGUGCGAACUGGUGGACUGGAGCUUGUCAGAGGCAGGCGGAAUUCCGGGUGUAGCGGUGGAAUGCGUAGAGAUCCGGAAGAACACCGGUGGCGAAGGCGGCCUGCUGGGACAGUGCUGACGCUGAAGCGCGACAGCGUGGGGAGCAAACAGG
RNAcentral lists this ribosomal RNA (253 nucleotides) under uncultured bacterium. Its description in RNAcentral is "partial 16S ribosomal RNA". It matches the Rfam family "Bacterial small subunit ribosomal RNA", at positions 524 to 776 of the family's 1533-position model. The record is from RNAcentral. RNAcentral also lists the same sequence under 1 other name.